GGCUCUCGCAUCGAUGAAGAACGUAGCGAAAUGCGGAUACUUGGUGUGAAUUGCAGAAUCCCGUGAACCAUCGAGUCUUUGAACGCAAGUUGCGCCCUAAGCCUUCUGGCCGAGGGCACGUCUGCCUGGG
RNAcentral lists this ribosomal RNA (130 nucleotides) under Alyssum minus. RNAcentral describes it as "5.8S ribosomal RNA". It matches the Rfam family "5.8S ribosomal RNA", at positions 23 to 149 of the family's 154-position model. Rfam says of the family: 5.8S ribosomal RNA (5.8S rRNA) is a component of the large subunit of the eukaryotic ribosome. It is transcribed by RNA polymerase I as part of the 45S precursor that also contains 18S and 28S rRNA. Functionally, it is thought that 5.8S rRNA may be involved in ribosome translocation. Lineage: Eukaryota; Viridiplantae; Streptophyta; Magnoliopsida; Brassicales; Brassicaceae. The record is from RNAcentral.